RNAcentral lists this ribosomal RNA (253 nucleotides) under uncultured bacterium. RNAcentral describes it as "partial 16S ribosomal RNA". It matches the Rfam family "Bacterial small subunit ribosomal RNA", at positions 1249 to 1500 of the family's 1533-position model. The record is from RNAcentral.
GCAAGACCGUGAGGUGGAGCAAAACUCAAAAACUUGUCUCAGUUCGGAUUGUAGGCUGAAACUCGCCUACAUGAAGCUGGAGUUGCUAGUAAUCGCGAAUCAGCAUGUCGCGGUGAAUACGUUCCCGGGCCUUGUACACACCGCCCGUCACACCAUGAGAGUUGGCAAUACCCAACGUACGUGAUCUAACCCGCAAGGGAGGAAGCGUCCUAAGGUAGGGUCAGCGAUUGGGGUGAAGUCGUAACAAGGUAGC